GCCUGAGUGUAGCAUAGUGGUAGGGAGUAGGGCUCGUAACCGGAAGGUUGCUGGUUCGAUUCCCCCUUGGUGCA
Molecule: non-coding RNA, 74 nt
Organism: Megalops atlanticus (tarpon)
Lineage: Eukaryota; Metazoa; Chordata; Actinopteri; Elopiformes; Megalopidae
Source: the annotation of a GenBank genome assembly